UCUGGCGACGAUUGACUGGUUCUUACUUUUAAGUGCGCUUGCGAUAUUGAAUGCCCGUAUAGACAGAACACAGUCAGUACAACGAGUGGAUUGACAACACGGCAAGGAAGUUGAUCGAGAAUGGGAUAAGAUUGAUGACCUGAAGUUACGUUAAGGAGUGAGAGUUCUGCCAGAUACACGAGAUGGGGAGGAAGGACGCAAGCAGUACAAGUGGUACAAGUGCACACCUGCCUCCAGUGGAUCACUACAGAAAACAGAUAGGUAAACAAGAUGUGAAAAAAGGCAAGAAAGAUGCUAAAACCAAGAAAAGACAGACUGAUCAGAAGCGAUCGGCGAUGACAAUACAGGUUAGUGUGCAGGUGACGGC
Molecule: long non-coding RNA, 367 nt
Organism: Haliotis rubra (blacklip abalone)
Lineage: Eukaryota; Metazoa; Mollusca; Gastropoda; Lepetellida; Haliotidae
Exons: 4
Source: RefSeq, a predicted model, not a curated record